This 231-nucleotide ribosomal RNA is filed under the name uncultured bacterium. RNAcentral describes it as "partial 16S ribosomal RNA". It matches the Rfam family "Bacterial small subunit ribosomal RNA", at positions 28 to 258 of the family's 1533-position model. The record is from RNAcentral.
GACGAACGCUGGCGGCGUGCUUAACACAUGCAAGUCGAGCGGUAAGGCCCCUUUCGGGGGUACACGAGCGGCGAACGGGUGAGUAACACGUGGGUGACCUGCCCUCAGCUCUGGGAUAAGCCUGGGAAACCGGGUCUAAUACCGGAUAUGACUCCAUGACGCAUGUUGUGGGGUGGAAAGCCUUGUGCGGCUGAGGAUGGGCCCGCGGCCUAUCAGCUUUGUUGGUGGGGU